This 249-nucleotide ribosomal RNA is filed under the name Triticum aestivum (bread wheat). RNAcentral's name for it is "partial small subunit ribosomal RNA". The record is from RNAcentral. Lineage: Eukaryota; Viridiplantae; Streptophyta; Magnoliopsida; Poales; Poaceae.
ACACCCUGCCCAAAUCGUAUAAAUGCGUUCGAGAAGGCAGUCAGGUGUUUUGCAAAGAACCCGGCUGAAAAUGUGAUCACACCGGUUCUUGGUACUACUUUCGACUCUUUUUGGGAAUAGUAUGAAGUUUACAACUUGAACUCAUGGGAGAAGGGUUUUGGUAGGAAGAUGACAGGAAGCUCAGGGAGCAAGAGAAGGAUGUUGAGGUUGCAAGGAAGUGUCAGGAGGACGCAGAGAGGAACGCGAUGA